This 483-nucleotide ribosomal RNA is filed under the name uncultured bacterium. RNAcentral's name for it is "partial 16S ribosomal RNA". It matches the Rfam family "Bacterial small subunit ribosomal RNA", at positions 29 to 523 of the family's 1533-position model. The record is from RNAcentral.
AAUGAACGUUGGCGGCGUGGAUUAGGCAUGCAAGUCGCGCGAGAAAUUUUCUUCGGAGAAUGGAAAGCGGCGGAAGGGAGAGGAUAAGGUAGAAAUCUACCCUCGGGACGGGGAUAGCUGCGGGAAACUGCUGGUAAUACCCGAUAAUAUCUUUGGAUCAAAGGUGUGAUUCCGCCUGAGGAUGAGUCUACUUCCUAUUAGCUAGUUGGCAGGGUAAUGGCCUACCAAGGCAACGAUGGGUAGCGGGUGUGAGAGCAUGACCCGCCUCACUGGGACUGAGACCGGCCCAGACACCUACGGGUGGCUGCAGUCGAGAAGCUUCGGCAAUGGGCGCAAGCCUGACCGAGCGACGCCGCGUGCGGGAUGAAGGCCUUCGGGUUGUAAACCGCUGUCGUAGAGGAGCAAAUGCAUGGGGGUUCUCCCCUGUGCUUGAGUGAUUCUAGGAGGAAGGGGAGGCUAAGCUCGUGCCAGCCGCCGCAGUAA